Molecule: RNase P RNA, 388 nt
Filed under: marine eukaryotic metagenome
Description: Bacterial RNase P class A
Rfam family: Bacterial RNase P class A
About the family: Ribonuclease P (RNase P) is a ubiquitous endoribonuclease, found in archaea, bacteria and eukarya as well as chloroplasts and mitochondria.
Source: RNAcentral
AGAUGGCCAGGUGUUCGCUGCGUUCUUUGAACGGAGAGGAAAGUCCGGGCUCCACAGGACACGAUGGUGGGUAACGCCCACCGUCCGCGAGGACAGAGCAAGUGCAACAGAGAGUAGACCGCCUCAGCGUCAUGCGAAGUGAAGCUUCGGCUUCCGGGGUAAGGGUGAAAGGGUGCGGUAAGAGCGCACCAGCGGCCUGGUUGAUCGGGCCGGCUGGGUAAACCUCAUCGGGAGCAAGACUAAGCAGGAGGAAGUGUGUUUCGGCACACUCGAGUCGGUCCGGCUCGGUGACCUCCGGGUAAGUUGCUUGAGGUGCUGAGCAAUCAGCAUCCUUGAUAAAUGGACACCCGCGACAUCGUCGUGACAAAACCCGGCUUAUCGGCCAUCU